GAGCAAAUCUCAAAAAGCCGUCCCAGUUCGGAUCGCAGGCUGCAACCCGCCUGCGUGAAGUUGGAAUCGCUAGUAAUCGCGGAUCAGAAUGUCGCGGUGAAUACGUUCCCGGGUCUUGUACACACCGCCCGUCACACCACGAGAGUUUACAACACCCGAAGUCAGUGGCCUAACCGCAAGGAGGGAGCUGCCUAAGGUGGGGUAGAUGAUUGGGGUGAAGUCGUAACAAGGUACC
RNAcentral lists this ribosomal RNA (235 nucleotides) under uncultured bacterium. RNAcentral's name for it is "partial 16S ribosomal RNA". It matches the Rfam family "Bacterial small subunit ribosomal RNA", at positions 1265 to 1500 of the family's 1533-position model. The record is from RNAcentral.